RNAcentral lists this long non-coding RNA (1097 nucleotides) under Gossypium barbadense (sea-island cotton). Its description in RNAcentral is "long non-coding RNA (GBAR_LNC009435)". Lineage: Eukaryota; Viridiplantae; Streptophyta; Magnoliopsida; Malvales; Malvaceae. The record is from RNAcentral.
AUUUUUUUAAUUAAUAACUCAUUUAUAUAUAAUAUAAACAUCAACUAAUUUUUUAUUUAUAUAUUUUUCUUCAUAUAUAAUAUUUACACGUCAAAUAUUUAUUUUCUCCAUUUAUAUUAUAUGUACAGUGAUUUCUAAAUAUAAUAUUAUAAAAUGAAAUAGUCAAAGCUUUCCAACAUUUACUUGUCGAUUAAUUUUGAUGCGGCUUAUAAUCAAAGUUUGGCGAAAUUUGGAUCGAGAAUGGUUGUUCGUAACUCUCAAGGUGAGAUUUUGGCUUCAAAAUAGACAUUGCACAAGGAGAUCGCAUUGCCGUUUGUAGCGGAAGGAUAUGCUUGCCUUCAGGCGUUGCUUUUGGGAACCUAUCUGGGCCUCUCAUCAAUUACCAUAGAAGGAGAUGCAAGAACCAUUAUUAAAAAAAGUCAGUCAGACAUUCUAGAUGAAUCGGUGAUAGGGGCGAUUAUUUGAGAAAUACAACAGCUGAAAAAGAGUUUUCAUAGUAUCAUGUUCAAACAAAUACCCAGAUUUGCUAAUAUCCUAGCACAUAGUUUAGCCACGGAUUGCUUAAAGAAUGGAAGAGAGAGUUACCUAAUUGGAAGUGUGUUGGUGGUCGUCGAUGAUGGAUUAUGGAGGAGGAGGAGGAGGAGGGAACCGGAUUGACAGAAGAGGAAGAGAUAGGCUUUGGGGAGAGGAAUGGGCAGUAAAUGGUUUUGAUUUUGGAAGGCUGCUGGUUUUGGAAACUAGUACCGACAAGUUUUGAGGGUUUGGAUAUUUUCUAAGGAGUGGGUGCCAGCUACUUUGCAGACUGGGGAAGUGUCUUUGUGCGUUUCGUUUUAUUUUUUUGUGUUUUUUAUGGGCUUCGUUAUCUUUUGGAAUAUGUUUUUCUGAUUUUCUUUGGAUUGGGUUUUUGUGGCUAGUGUUUGUUUUGUGAGUUGUCACUUUUGUGUUUUUUUUUCCAGUUAUUUUUGUCUUAUAAAAUCCAGUCAAUUUUCUUUAAGAAAAUUGAAUGUUCAAAUGUACCAAAUACUCACUUAAAAAAAAUUAAAGUUAUUUAUGUUUAAAAUUUUAAUAAAAAUAUUAAAUUAAAAAUAGUAUAUAAU